This 1445-nucleotide long non-coding RNA is filed under the name Piliocolobus tephrosceles (Ugandan red Colobus). RNAcentral describes it as "lncRNA (ENSPTEG00000017184.1)". The record is from RNAcentral. Lineage: Eukaryota; Metazoa; Chordata; Mammalia; Primates; Cercopithecidae.
AUGGAUAAUUUAGUGUGUUUAAAGUUAUUCAAAACGAGAAAAAAAAGUAGUAAAAAUAAAAUAUAUACUAUUUUACCUAAUGAAAGUAAUAAUAUAGUAGCUUUGCUUUACAUUCAAAAUAAUGUUAGUCUCGAACAAAAAAGUUUUAGAUUAUGUUAUAAUUUUUCAAAUGGCUGCAAUAAUGACGUUUUACUGAAUAAUAACAUAGUCAGCUGUUUUUGGGUAUAUUGUGAUAAAAACAUGUUUACAAAAAAUGGAGGUGUAAAACAUGAAGUUCCAAUUUUGAUAGCACAACAACCUACUCAAUUAAAUUUUUACAAUUUUACUCAUGUCAGUAGAGUAAAUGCACAAUUAAAAAGCAGUGAAAUAAUUAUACAAGAUAAUUCAUUGCAACUCAGUUAUAAAAAAAAAAAUGGAAGCAAUGAUAAAAGAAAUAUUAUAUAUAACUUUUAUAUAACCUACGACAAACUGUUUACUUUUGUCGGAUCACUAGAUAAUAACCUUUCUAUUCUUAAAUCAUUUGAUAAAAAGUUUAUCAAAAUAAUAUUAAAAAAGGAAAACACCUUUUUUAUUAUACUAAAUGACAUAAUAUGCGUAAAAAUAGUUGCUGAUGGAUUAAGGUGAAAACUGAAAAGAAGUUUGAUAUUAUAAUAUCACGCGAUUAAGAACAGUUCUAUGCGUACAAACACAUACAUACGUGUACAUAUACAUAUAUAUAUAUAUAUAUAUAUAUAUAUAUAUAAAUUUAUUAUUUUUAACUAUUAUAGCUUAAAAGUGAAAAGGAUAACAGCCUUGCAAAAUAUUUCGAUAAAUUUUAAUUAUUAUACUUAUUUUAUCAAGUGUGUGUGCAGGUAAAAAUAAGUUUACUACUCAUAGUGAGGGUAUACAUACAUACAUGUAUAUAUAUAUAUAUAUAUAUAUAUGUGCCAGGUGAAAGCAUGAAUGAUACAAGUGAAAUAUUUUUUUUUUUUUUUUUUAAUUUAGAAACAAUUUCUUAUUUCUGUUAACUCUCACACCUCAACAAUAUUUGAUAAUUUUUAAGAAAGGAAUUCCUUAUUUGGCCAUUAAUAUCAAUGAGCAUGGUAAUUAGUGAAUGUUUUUUUUGCAGCUUUUUUUUUUAUUAUUUCCUUGUUAUCAAAAAAAAAAAAAAAACAGCUCAUCGGCGUAUUUUCAUAUAUCCCACAAUUAUUUUAUACAUAUAUAAACACACUUAACCAUUUAUUUAAUCAUUUAUUUAACCAUUUAUUUAACAAUUUUUUUUUUUUUUUUUUUUUUUUUUUUUAAGUACUCACGUUCUUUACCAAUUUUGAAGUUAACCAUGAUUCGUCAAAAGUGUUGCUAAUUGAUUUUCGCAACCAAGUUUGGUUUUUUGAUUUGAAAAUGUAAGUGAAAAAGAAGAAAAAAAUAUUAGAUGUACAAAAAAAAAAAAAAAAAAAAUGAGAACA